GGCUUUCUAACGCAGCGUUAUGCAGCACAGGCGGCACCAACAGCCUGCCACGGGAUGGCAUGGCAUGGAGUGCUGAUAAAACCAGGAUGAUAGUGUCAUACCAGGCACUCUAAAGGAAACAAUUCCAUCUCAGAUGAAACAAAGGCGGGCAGGCAUUUGGGAGGGCUGCACGACUGAGGGAUGCCUUCUGAGUGCAACAUCAGGAGAACUUGGAGCACUGCCUCAAAGAAGAACAGUGCUGGGCACUGCGGCAGGCCCAGGGUGCGCUGGUGGAGCUGGCACACCGCCUCUGCUCUCAUGCGCCCUCUGAGCCUUCUCCCCAUUGCGCUCCCCCUUCACUUGUUUCUUGGCAGGCUCCAGCUCUGCUUUUGGCUUCUCUUCCAAGCCCUUGGGCUUUCUUCCAGACAGGGUCUUGGAGAAAGACUGGAUGUCAACUGCAGGGGAAGGUCUUCCUCCUGUGCUGGGCCCGCUCUUCCACGAAGCCCUCCAGCCUGGAGACGAGCUCCCUCAGAACGGACUUAAUUCACCGCUUGCACAUAGAUCUUGCCAUUUGGCUCAGCACCUCUCCCUGUUAUAAUCAAGAAGGAGAAGCAACAAGAUUUAAAGAGAGUGCAGCACUGCUUUUGCUCUGCAAAAUGGGCCCCAGUACUAGGAAAUGUGCUCUUGAGUGUUCGUGGUAAUGGAUCUUAAGAUCUUGGGUGAAUUGUGGGUUCCCAUUUCAAAUCAGGACAGGAAAGGUAACUGUAAAUCCCAGGGAUUAAGACCUCAAACAGCACGCAACAAGAACAGUCCCAGGAAAGAACAGAUGGAAAGCCUAACUAGAAAGACAGUGCAUCAAACCCAGAUGCCUGUUGUGUAUCUGUACCUCUCCUGGGUGCCGUGCCAUGCUCCGUGCUCCUGCACGUGGCCUGCCCCAGCGCCGAGUAAGCAGCUACGGACCUCAAAGCUCAGAGGGAAGAAGAUGCUGUGGUACCUGCCCUGCAAGAAGACAAAGACAAAAAGAGAAGAGAGCGGAAAUGAAGAAGGCUUCUCUCAGAGCUGCCGCUGCACAUGCAGAGGUGAGUCCUUGGUGAACACAGACAAGCGCGCUUGUUGUUCUCAGGGCCUCUGUCUGUCAGACAUGGAUGAGAUUGUGAAGGCCUGAGGGAAGUGGUGUCCUGUUUUUACACUUCCUUUGUUUCUUUCUGGUCCUCCGCAGUGAACAGCCUUGUGGAGCUGAUGCAGAAGCUGCAGCUGAAGGACUGAGAGGAGGAGCAGCAGAAGGCAGCGGCUGCUGUACCCCUUUCUUUCCCCCUUGCUUCCCCAUGCCUUCCCCCUGCAACGCCCUGCUGUUCUGCUGCUACUGUCACCUGUCAUUAAAAAAACACUUUUCGAACACAUUGGAUCAGACCGCAUACUCUCCCUGUUUAUAAAAGCAGUAAAACAAGGAAUAUAUUAUUAUGUAUUGAUGAACUCCCACCUGCUUGAAGACCAAUAGCAGCUUCUCAUUCUGGAUUAACUCCUGAACACAACCUGGACUCCAUGCAUGGAUUUGGUAUCAGCAGUGGCUCUGCAAUAUUGGGUCUGAGUCUUCAGCUUCCACUUCAAGUUCUAGUGUAAUUUAGGACACCAAAAAUGUGUAACCACUCCUUUCAAAACGAAAUAUAUAAGAAGAAAAUACACUUAGAAAAAAUGAUGAACAUCUAACUACAAUUCUGGAUAAAAGUAUGCUACAAUUUUAGAGGUGAGCUUUUGGGAUGCUCCUUUCUCAGAGCAACAUGGCUGUGUGUUGUAUCAGGCGUGUUACAGGGCACUCGGGUAUGUGACGGGGAAGGUCCUUCCUCAUAUGCUUCCUAUUGGUUCACCUACUUUACUUGAACCCGCGACGUAAGAAGGAGAGGCUGUCCUUCUUUGUUUUCAUAACAAGGUGUAUAACAACUCCGUGUAUGGCCUUUCGGAAGUGAGUGGCCAGAGCGGGAUAUUCAAUAUGAUUGGCCAGGAGCCUGCGUGAGCUUCUGGAACAGUCUAGUAAAAGAUAAGAUAUACUAUAUAGUUUUGUAGCUUUUAACAAUAAAAGUCAUUUUGCCGCUCA
RNAcentral lists this long non-coding RNA (2071 nucleotides) under Numida meleagris (helmeted guineafowl). RNAcentral's name for it is "lncRNA (ENSNMEG00000008709.1)". Lineage: Eukaryota; Metazoa; Chordata; Aves; Galliformes; Numididae. The record is from RNAcentral.